AAUAAAGUUUUACAUUCUAAAUUUGCUCCUUACGAGUUUUCAUCUUUUGAAAACGAUUUAUUACAUCUUCAUUAGUAACAUUUGCAAGUGCCUCCUUUUCUAUAGCUGAAAUAAGACAAUCACUUAAGAAGCCAUCACCAAUUCGGUUGCGCAAAUCUGACUUCACAAGUUUCAUGGUAGAAAAGCACCUCUCCACUGUUGCAGUUGCAACCGGCAAAACCAAUGCAAGCUUUAAUAAUCGAUACACCAAA
RNAcentral lists this long non-coding RNA (251 nucleotides) under Daucus carota (carrot). RNAcentral's name for it is "long non-coding RNA (DCAR_LNC005149)". The record is from RNAcentral. Lineage: Eukaryota; Viridiplantae; Streptophyta; Magnoliopsida; Apiales; Apiaceae.